GAAAUGCGAUAAGUAGUGUGAAUUGCAGAAUUAAGUGAAUCAUCGAAUCUUUGAACGCACAUUGCGCCCUAUGGUAUUCCGUAGGGCAUGCCUGUUCGAGCGUCAUUUACACCUUCAAGCCUUGCUUGGUGUUGGGUGACUGUGGCCCCUUUGGGGCCACUCGCCUUAAAGUCAUUGGCGGCCGGUUCGUUGGCUUUGUAGCGCAGCACAAUUGCGUCCUCGAAGCCGCUGGACCAGCUCCCAGAAGCUAAUUUUAAAUGUUUGACCUCGAAUCAGGUAGGGAUACCCGCUGACCUUAAGC
Molecule: unclassified non-coding RNA, 301 nt
Filed under: plant metagenome
Description: partial contains 5.8S ribosomal RNA, internal transcribed spacer 2, and large subunit ribosomal RNA
Rfam family: 5.8S ribosomal RNA (bases 1-105)
Source: RNAcentral